UCAUUCUACCCAUGUGUCUAUCCUGAUUGUGAUACUGACUUCAUAGAAGGUGAUGAGUAUAAGAAACAGUUGCUAGUCUAGUCCAUACAGUGGCAAUUCAUUAGAAAGGAGUGAGCCAGCAUUGAAAUUCUCAUAAGAACAGAAAAGUGAAAUUGAGAUGGUCUGAGUACUCUAAAUGAGGAUGGGAAAGUGAUACCAAGAAGAAGCAGGGGAUGAAGAAGAGGAACAACAGUGAAGUGGAGGACAUAGGACCAACAAGUCAUAACAGAAAGAAGGCCAAGUGGGACCCUUUAGAGCCUUUGGAUACCGGCCUGUCUUUAGCAGAGGAUGAAGAGCUGGUGUUACAUCUGCUAAGAAGUCAAAGCUAAAUACUUCCUGCACCUGCCUUCUCCUUGAAACCUUGGUUACGAUUGUGUAGGCAAGAAGUUGAAAAACAGUUGAUUUGGGGGCACUUAGGUACCAUAUGCCCCAUUCCCAAAGGGCACAUUUCUGGAUAGAAGUGAUCGUAUCUCCAAGUCCCUCUCGCAGGACAUGCUUUGUGCCAUCACUGAGCAUACUCAGAUCGAGGGUGGAUGAUGCCAUUUCCUGACCCCGUUUUCCAGCAUGUGUUCUGUUAGAUUUUUACCCAUGAGUUCCUACGCCUUGUCAUUGGAAACACUGCCUUUGUUUUACUGGCAAGUUCUGGAGCUCUUGUGUCAUUGUUAGAAAUCCCUGUCUUGCUUACUGUACAGAAGUUUCUGUUACUGUUAAAAUUGCUCAUGAUUUCGAUGUAUUUAAUAUUUUCAAAGAGACUAUGAUGGACCAGCCCUGAGAAAGAAUGAGUAUUUUUGAAUUGAGAUGAUCAAUAAAAAACAUAUUUCCUAUAAAAGA
This 870-nucleotide small RNA is filed under the name Pongo abelii (Sumatran orangutan). RNAcentral describes it as "processed transcript". Lineage: Eukaryota; Metazoa; Chordata; Mammalia; Primates; Hominidae. The record is from RNAcentral.